This 619-nucleotide ribosomal RNA is filed under the name Bacillus subtilis. Its description in RNAcentral is "bacterial SSU rRNA". It matches the Rfam family "Bacterial small subunit ribosomal RNA", at positions 858 to 1487 of the family's 1533-position model. The record is from RNAcentral. Lineage: Bacteria; Bacillati; Bacillota; Bacilli; Caryophanales; Bacillaceae.
CAUUAAGCACUCCGCCUGGGGAGUACGGUCGCAAGACUGAAACUCAAAGGAAUUGACGGGGCCCGCACAGCGGUGGAGCAUGUGGUUUAUUUCGAAGCAACGCGAAGAACCUUACCAGGUCUUGACAUCCUCUGACAAUCCUAGAGAUAGGACGUCCCUUCGGGGGCAGAGUGACAGGUGUGCAUGGUUGUCGUCAGCUCGUGUCGUGAGAUGUUGGGUUAAGUCCCGCAACGGCGCAACCCUUGAUCUUAGUUGCCAGCAUUCAGUUGGGCACUCUAAGGUGACUGCCGGUGACAACCGGAGGAAGGUGGGGAUGACGUCAAAUCAUCAUGCCCCUUAUGACCUGGGCUACACACGUGCUACAAUGGACAGAACAAGGGCAGCGAAACCGCGACGGUUAAGCCAAUCCCACAAAUCUGUUCUCAGUUCGGAUCGCAGUCUGCAACUCGACUGCGUGAAGCUGGAAUCGCUAGUAAUCGCGGAUCAGCAUGCCGCGGUGAAUACGUUCCCGGGCCUUGUACACACCGCCCGUCACACCACGAGAGUUUGUAACACCCGAAGUCGGUGAGGUAACCUUUAGGAGCAGCCGCCGAAGGUGGGACAGAUGAUUGGGGAAGUC